This is a long non-coding RNA of Haliotis rubra (blacklip abalone), 496 nucleotides long. RefSeq lists it as uncharacterized. The record is from RefSeq and is a predicted model, not a curated record. NCBI's taxonomy places the organism in Eukaryota, Metazoa, Mollusca, Gastropoda, Lepetellida, Haliotidae. The transcript is spliced from 3 exons.
GUACGCAUGGUCUGAUGACGUAGAACACAAGUGCCUUCAUCUGUCAGAAAGUUAGCAGAAGCAGACGAGAAUACUUAAAGUGUUAUGCGACCGUGAUACAUUUUCCCGCAGACAGAUCUGAGAGGGCACGAUGCCGAUCCCACACAUCCACCAUCUGACCCAGGCGGUACCCCUGGCGCUUCUGUUCCUCCUGCUGCUGUUCAUGGCCGCCUUCCUGGUGUACAAGUACAGCAUGUUUUCCGGGAGCAAGGCCAAGUAGACGCUCGCACACGACCUUCUCUCAUGAUGACUUAAAGAACAAAGGACGCUCAGCUUUGAUCUGACGUUUCCCCCCAUUCGGACACGUUCACGAAACACCAGCGACAGUUUUGUUUUGUACACAUAAUUGGUAUACGAACGAUCUGGUUUGUACGGUUUUAUUGGACUGCGAACAAUGAUGAAAUGCAAAGCGAUAGCUAUGAUGUAAUUCAAGGAAUAUAAAAAGAUGCGGAACUGA